This 416-nucleotide long non-coding RNA is filed under the name Pan troglodytes (chimpanzee). Its description in RNAcentral is "long non-coding RNA NONPTRT017408". The record is from RNAcentral. Lineage: Eukaryota; Metazoa; Chordata; Mammalia; Primates; Hominidae.
AAGGAAUCUAUGUGCUUGGGAUGGGUGGAGCACAGCAGAAGCACAGGUGGGCCACUGCAUGGAUGAGUCCUUUGGGUUUUUUUGUCAUGCAAUUGUGGACAAAAUCUCUCUGAAGGCAUGUCUCCAGGAAUUCCUUUGUGGUAUGUUUCCUAUGUGCAGGCAUCAAGAAUCCAGACCAUAUGAUGUAUAAAAGAGAUGAAAUAAGUUUUCAAUUUAUUUCCAGGGAGUAAAUAAGUAACUGUUGAAGGAGGGAAACCAACCCCAGAUGCUAUUUAGGGCACCAAGCUUUACUUCACUACAUGAUGCUUGAUAUUCUGAAAUCCAUUCUGCCUUUCUCCCUUUCUCCUAAACAACUUCACCCCUUCUGCACAAGAAAACAAUGCUAAACAGUCUUUUCAUAUUUUGUUUAUAUUUUA